RNAcentral lists this long non-coding RNA (1765 nucleotides) under Pelobates cultripes (western spadefoot toad). Lineage: Eukaryota; Metazoa; Chordata; Amphibia; Anura; Pelobatidae. The record is from RNAcentral.
GUCUGAUAUUGCUCCUUAUUUUGUGCAGUUUCUGCUGUUUGGUGAGUUUUUAUUGUAAGAUAUAUUUUAAUUUGCAGAUAAUUCCGGGGAAGUUGCAUUAUAAUUAGUAUUACGUCUGAGAAUUUCUGUGCAUGCUCUUUUAUUAUUGUGAAUGUCCCUGUAUUUGCUACAUUGUAAUUAUGGGCCCGUUUAUUGUUUUAUAAAGUUCCAUUGUAAGCAGUGGUGGUCUGUAGGAUGGAUUACAAACAGCCCAUAGAGAUCCUCUCGUUGAUCUUGGGUUCCAGCAAUUCUGGUAAAACGUAACCCUUCCGCUAAUUAAUUAUUUUUGUUAUAUAGUAAAUAGCGUAACCUGGGAAGCAAGGAAAAUUCAGCAAUUUUACAUAUAUUGCAGUUCAGUGAUUCCUAAUAUUUCAAAGCCUUCUUUCACUUGGGUGAAAACCUCACAUUUUUGAUGCUUCCAAUAUAAUUAUGAAAGCCUCAAACCGUAAUAUACAACUAAUGUUCCUUCUCUUUUCAAUAAUCUAAUAGUCCAUAUUUAUUACUAUAUUCAAAUUGCCAUAUUUUAGAUUUCUCUCCCCCUGUCCAAUUUAAAUUGUCCCCAAGUCUCCAAUGCAUUUCCACAAUAUGCUAUAGGUCCAGUAAUUAAACAAACCCACAAUAUAUAGUAACAUAUUCUGUCUUUUUACUUUGGUUCUCCGUGGAUGUUGUGUCUUUUGCCCUUGUGGCUAGCACCCAGCAUUUUAAAUGUGGCUGGUCUGUGGGCUGGGGAGGUGCUAUUUAUAAUUUGGAGGUAUGAAUGCUCCCUUGUUUUUCUUGUAGCCCUUGCGCUCUACAAUAUAGUUCAAUCUGACUUCAUUACACCCAUUUCUUCAUGGCAGUGCAUGCUUUUGGUCAAAAUGUAAUAAUUUUGAAUACAUUUGUCAAUUGAUUUAAUAUUUUUGGAUACACUUUUAAAAUGUUUACUAUGUUAAAACAUUUGAAUUAUUUUUAUGUUUUUUAAGAUGUUAAUAUAAUUUUGAUAUUUUACUGUUUUGAAAAACAUAUUUUUAAAAAUCUAACCAAAAAUAUGAAAUCUGUGAAUAAAAAAAAUAUUAAAUACUGGUCUUAAUAAACAUUCCAAAUGACUUAUCUAAAUAAUUCACCAUUAAAGUCUAUAGGAAUUUCUAUAGAUAAAUUAUUUGAAAAGUUAUUCAAUUAAGUGAGAAUUCCAAGUCAAUUCAAAACUGUUGGAUAAACAUUCCAAAUUAUUUCAUAUUUUUCGAUGAACUUGAAAUUAUUUCUUUAACAUAUUAAAAUAUCAAAAAAUAUAUUGUACAUAAAAACAUAUAUAAAACAUUAGGAAAAUAUUACAGAAUUAAUUUUUUUUAUAUCAUUUUAAAAUAUUAUCCAAAAAUAUUAAAUAGUUUAAAAUUCUUAUCCAAUUAUAUCAAUUUGAGGCUGUAAUGCCAAAGAAGGCAAUCUGGGAGCAUUCAUGGCUUAGACAAUGCUUCCAGUUUGGCUAGUUUGAACUUGAAUGUAAAAUUCACUUUGAAUUCUCAGUUUAGUGAGUUACCCUGUGAAUAUUUUAUGUUCUGUUGGUUACCGUGUCAUUCUUUUUUUCCAGCCAUUUAUUUGUAAGAAGAGCUCAGAUUCCUGCCAAAGUGGCUUCUCCUUUGGGAAGUAAUGUCAAGGAGUCCGUAAUCCUGUUUACUGGAAUUCAGUGAAUUUAACUCCUGGUGCUGCUCUGUGUUACAACUCAUCGAUACACUCUGAUUCCCAAUGUUCG